UAAAACUUUAAGUUAUAAAAACUAAAAGCCUUCAAAGCUUAAAAAAAGGGCCUCCCCUUAAGUUUUAA
RNAcentral lists this transfer RNA (68 nucleotides) under Gondogeneia antarctica. RNAcentral's name for it is "tRNA-Trp". Lineage: Eukaryota; Metazoa; Arthropoda; Malacostraca; Amphipoda; Pontogeneiidae. The record is from RNAcentral.